RNAcentral lists this long non-coding RNA (1345 nucleotides) under Anser brachyrhynchus (Pink-footed goose). RNAcentral's name for it is "lncRNA (ENSABRG00000020129.1)". The record is from RNAcentral. Lineage: Eukaryota; Metazoa; Chordata; Aves; Anseriformes; Anatidae.
GCCAAAUCACCUGACUGUAUCACGUGAGCUGCUGCACAUCCAGAAUUGUCUCUGUGGUAGCAGGUGACUCAAGAUCUGAAGCCAACACUGCCAGAUCUUCCUGGGAUCUAGCUGAGCACCCAGCCCAGCCCGCUCCAUCCUAUGGGAGCAUAGGGAACUACUGUCAUUCUCCACCCAUGGAUUAUUCCUGCAGGUCCUCCUCAUCUUCUCCACCCUGCCAGUUCCACAGGUUGCUGCAGAGCUGGACUGCAAGGGAAGCCAGGGUUCAUGGUGUGGAUCAGCUUUCUCAAACCAAGGGGCUGCAAAAUUCGGUGUCAUACCGCAUUCCUCACCAUGUGAAUCACAGGCCGUCACAGCUGCUGGGUUUGGGUGGAUCACCUUGUUCAGUAGCGUGAUCAACUGGCUGAUAGAAAGCAGGAAAAACAGAGUGAUUUCCUGGCAGCAGGUCUAGAAGUGACGUAUGGAAAUGUUUCUUCAUACCGGUCGUGGUUAGCUGGUGGAACGCAUUGCUGCAAGAGCACAUUGAGACGGGCUCUAAAGAAGAAUGAACAUCUAUCAUUUUAUUUCUAACUCCCAAGAUUUAGACCUGUAAAGCCUAAAUAUACAGAUGAGAAUGCUAGGAGACAAAACUUCACACACCACAGGAAAUGAGCCAACUCCUAAUAGAUGGUUUACAGGAGAAUCUUCUGACAUACUACCUAUUUAUUUCACCAGUUUUCAUAGGUGGCUGAGAAAUAGUGAUGAGACUACGUUAGAUAACUGACAGUGUGACAGUUUGACAGCUGCUUAUAAUUUAGGCUAUGCUUUGGACUUUACCAAAAACUUCAGCAAUUUAUACCAAAAGUGAGAUGGUAUUUUCUUGUAUGUUUCCCACCAUUUCUGAGUCCUAACAUUAGUUUCUAUGCAACAAUGCUUAGCUAAGAAAUCAUAGUAGUUUCCAGCUUUAGUGAACAAUCAGUUUUAUUCCUCACUGCCACAGAACCUUUGAUCUUGAUGAUAACCUAAUUUUGCCUGUUCUGUGUGCCUGGAAUAAGGUUGCUGAAUGUUAGAAAUGGUAGAAUUUUAUUUGAUGAACUUGUAUCCUGCUUCGCCUUGCAUUAAUUGCAUACAGGAAUGUCAAAAGGAUAAGAAUCCAUUAUUUUAAAAUGCAAUGCAAGUGAGAAUAAUUCAUAUGGAGCUAUUGGUCUCUGUGACAGCAGAAUCUGUCAAGAAGAGUCCUUACUGUCACUGUGCACUGUUGAUGCUGCUUCCUGAGCUCUACAUUUCACUAAAAUGUUAUUAUUUUAUAGCAUCCAUAGCUUUUUGGUGUUUAAAGUAGAUUGAGCAAGUUUCUAUUGCUUCUGGC